CCAACAGGGAUUGCCUCAGUAACGGCGAGUGAAGCGGCAACAGCUCAAAUUUGAAAUCUGGCCCCCGGCCCGAGUUGUACUUUGCAGAGGAUGCUUCUGGCGCGGUGCCUUCCAAGUCCCCUGGAAUGGGGCGCCGGAGAGGGUGAGAGCCCCGUACGGUCGGCCGCCAAGCCUGUGUGAAGCUCCUUCGAAGAGUCGAGUAGUUUGGGAAUGCUGCUCUAAGCGGGAGGUAGACCCCUUCUAAAGCUAAAUACCGGCCAGAGACCGAUAGCGCACAAGUAGAGUGAUCGAAAGAUGAAAAGCACUUUGAAAAGAGGGUUAAACAGCACGUGAAAUUGUUGAAAGGGAAGCGCUCGUGCCCAGACGUGCGCUGGGGCGAUCAUCCGGCGUUCUCGCCGGUGCACUCGCCCCGGCGCAGGCCAGCGUCGGCUCGGGUGGGGGGACAAAGGCGCCUGGAACGUGGCCCCUCCGGGGGUGUUAUAGCCAGGCGUGCCAUGCCUCCGCCCGGGCCGAGGUCCGCGCUCUGCAAGGACGCUGGCGUAAUGGGCACCGGCGGCCCGUCUUGAAACACGGACCAAGGAGUCAAGGUCUUGCGCGAGUGUCUGGGUGCCAAACCCGCACGCGCAAUGAAAGUGAACGCAGGUGGGAGCUUCGGCGCACCACCGACCGAUCCUGAUGUUCUCGGAUGGAUUUGAGUAGGAGCGUAGGGCCUUGGACCCGAAAGAUGGUGAACUAUGCUUGGAUAGGGUGAAGCCAGAGGAAACUCUGGUGGAGGCUCGCAGCGGUUCUGACGUGCAAAUCGAUCGUCAAAUCUGAGCAUGGGGGGCGAAAGACUAAUCGAACCAU
Molecule: ribosomal RNA, 846 nt
Filed under: Lomaantha pooga
Lineage: Eukaryota; Fungi; Ascomycota
Also listed under: 1 other name
Description: partial large subunit ribosomal RNA
Rfam family: Eukaryotic large subunit ribosomal RNA
Source: RNAcentral